This 378-nucleotide ribosomal RNA is filed under the name Triticum aestivum (bread wheat). Its description in RNAcentral is "partial small subunit ribosomal RNA". The record is from RNAcentral. Lineage: Eukaryota; Viridiplantae; Streptophyta; Magnoliopsida; Poales; Poaceae.
AUGGUUUUCCCAGGAAGGGGAAGGAUCCGUGUUGAUGCUGACAGUGUUCAGAGGAUCACUACAUGGCUCAAGAUGAUUGAGCAUAUGGCUGGAAGAACGGAUGACACAUUUUUUAUGGCCUGGCUUGCGGUUGCCUUCAGUACUUUUCUAGCACCAACCACGGCCUUGAAGCUCAGCCCAAAGUGUUAUGGACUUGUGCUAGAUCAUCAAAUGCUAAAGAAUACAAACAUCUGCCUCUUUGUAGCAGAACACAUUAACGAAGCUUUCCGGAACAUGGACCAGGAGAAGCAAACUGUUUGCUGCUGCUUGUAUCACUUGAUGAUACUAUACCUUGAUGCGCUCGUACAUGACAUCCCAGUAAGCAACUGCGCGAUAUGA